UCCGACCUCAGAUCAGACGAGACUACCCGCUGAAUUUAAGCAUAUCACUAAGCGGAGGAAAAAAAACU
Molecule: ribosomal RNA, 68 nt
Filed under: Pecten maximus
Lineage: Eukaryota; Metazoa; Mollusca; Bivalvia; Pectinida; Pectinidae
Also listed under: 5 other names
Description: partial 28S ribosomal RNA
Rfam family: Eukaryotic large subunit ribosomal RNA
Source: RNAcentral